UUUAGAAUUCUUCUGGGUUAAGACCUGAAAACACAAGAAGUUUACCAACAUCUGACUUCUAACCCUGCUGUACCCUUCUUCACAUCUCUACAGAUGACCACAGAGAGACAAGUAGCCACAGUACAGAGGUGACACAAACACAGGACCUGACUUGGGCACACUUCUGCCAGCAGGAUGUUCCCCUCUGGCAAGGGAAUUUUCUGUUGCUAUUUGUGGUCACGCUGGGUGUGUCUACACAAGACGUUUACUGCACAGUUGACCAAUUAACUGCAUAGGAAGCAUUUUGGUAUCUACACAUGCACCUCUAUUAGGGUACAUGAAACUAAUAAACUCCUCAGCAAGCUG
Gavialis gangeticus (Gharial) is the source of this 345-nucleotide long non-coding RNA. RefSeq lists it as uncharacterized. The record is from RefSeq and is a predicted model, not a curated record. The transcript is spliced from 2 exons. Lineage: Eukaryota; Metazoa; Chordata; Crocodylia; Gavialidae.